GACGAACGCUGGCGGCGUGCUUAACACAUGCAAGUCGAACGGAAAGGCCCUGCUUGCAGGGUACUCGAGUGGCGAACGGGUGAGUAACACGUGGGUGAUCUGCCCUGCACUUCGGGAUAAGCCUGGGAAACUGGGUCUAAUACCGGAUAGGAGCAAUUUUUAGGGUGAUGGUUGGAAAGUUUUUUCGGUGUAGGAUGAGCUCGCGGCCUAUCAGCUUGUUGGUGGGGUAAUGGCCUACCAAGGCGGCGACGGGUAGCCGGCCUGAGAGGGUGGACGGCCACAUUGGGACUGAGAUACGGCCCAGACUCCUACGGGAGGCAGCAGUGGGGAAUAUUGCACAAUGGGCGCAAGCCUGAUGCAGCGACGCCGCGUGGGGGAUGACGGCCUUCGGGUUGUAAACUCCUUUCGCUAGGGACGAAGCUUUUUGUGACGGUACCUAGAUAAGAAGCACCGGCUAACUACGUG
Molecule: ribosomal RNA, 465 nt
Filed under: uncultured bacterium
Lineage: Bacteria
Description: partial 16S ribosomal RNA
Rfam family: Bacterial small subunit ribosomal RNA
Source: RNAcentral